UACGGAGGGUGCAAGCGUUGUCCGGAUUUACUGGGUUUAAAGGGUGCGUAGGUGGAUUUGUAAGUCAGUGGUGAAAUCUCCGAGCUUAACUCGGAAACUGCCAUUGAUACUAUAAGUCUUGAAUUAUCUGGAGGUAAGCGGAAUAUGUCAUGUAGCGGUGAAAUGCUUAGAUAUGACAUAGAACACCAAUUGCGAAGGCAGCUUACUACGGAUAUAUUGACACUGAGGCACGAAAGCGUGGGGAUCAAACAGG
RNAcentral lists this ribosomal RNA (253 nucleotides) under uncultured bacterium. RNAcentral describes it as "partial 16S ribosomal RNA". It matches the Rfam family "Bacterial small subunit ribosomal RNA", at positions 524 to 776 of the family's 1533-position model. The record is from RNAcentral.